RNAcentral lists this long non-coding RNA (4759 nucleotides) under Sus scrofa (pig). RNAcentral describes it as "lncRNA (ENSSSCG00035031682.1)". Lineage: Eukaryota; Metazoa; Chordata; Mammalia; Artiodactyla; Suidae. The record is from RNAcentral.
GGACUGCACCCGUGGCAUAUGGAGGUUCCCAGGCUAGGGGUCAAAUCGGAGCUGUAGCCACCGGUCUACGCCACAGCAACACCAGAUCCGAGCCACAUCUGUGACCUAUACCACAGCUCACAGCUACACCCAAUACGUAACCCACUGAGUGAGGCCAGGGAUCAAACCCACAACCUCAUGCUUCCUACGCAGAUUAGUUUCUGCUGCGCCACCAUGAGAACUCUGAGGUGAUGCUGUUUCUCAUCACAGGAUUUCAGGUUUGUUUUCCCCUUCCUUAUGACUACUGUCCAUUUUGCUUGCUCAGAUCCCAAUUCUCCUGCUGCUCUCCUGCUUCCAAGUUCCUUGAGGAGCCACGCUUCCUCCACCCUGGCAUCUCUCCCUGCUGGAUUUGUGCUUCAGGGAGGUAGGGGAGACUCUGUGCCCUCCCACCCAGGGCUAGAGACCUCUCUUACAGGGAUGUAACAUCCGUUGUGGCAGCAGCCACAGUGGUCCUGGGACACACAGGGUCACCCUCCCAGCCCUCAUGGCAUCAGGUGGAAAAGAGGGCAAGGCUGAGAGGCAGGACACAGCCCCCAUGAUUGGUCCAUGCACAGAUGCUAUAGUGGUUUCGGGUAGGCAAGUCAGGGCUGCAGGUGGAUGGCUCAGGACUCCGGUUUCCCUUUCCAAGCCCAUGGCCUCCUGCCCCUCGUCAGGCUCGCUUUCCAUUGAUGUUUCCCAACCUCACCACCUUUGCAAUUCCAGUUCCCUGUCCCUUGGAUGUCCCUCCGACACACUCUCCCAGCCAAUUCCAUCUACGUCAGGUCUUCUCCAAUCCCCAUCAGGAGAGGGGUUCUUCAUCAGCCCACAACCCACCCUGGAUGCACCCCAGAGAACUCACAGCAAAGCUUGGGACCCCUCCAGGGAGCCUAGCCUCCUGGCAAGCUGCAGGAUAGGCUGGGAGACAAAAGGGAGACCAAGGAACAAAAGACAGAAAGACCUUGUCAAGAUGCUGUCCCUCCAGGUUUGGCUGCUUCUUUAAACCUCGUCCUAACUCUUCUCCCACCCUCUUCACCUGACCCCGUCCACCCAGGCCUGAACUCCCUUGGUCCUCCCGAGUCCGUCUCCUGCUGGCCCAAAAUGUAAGCUUUUCCCAGCUUCACUGUAUCUCUGAGGCAGGAGGUAGAUGACCCCCUGGGCUGAGAACAGCUGGGACUUGUUAGGCUGAGUAAAUUGGGCCUUGCUUGUCUUUGACACGUCAGGGAAAAGCUAAUGGCAGGAGCUGAGCUCUGCUGGAGUAAAAAGAGAAGAUGAUCCCAUCAGUCUCACCCAAGGUCAAGGAGACCUUCUUGCCUAGGAGUCACAGAUGCACAGAUGCACUCCUAGGAGUCAAAAAGGGAGGGGGGUUCCAGGACCUAAUAAGUCCUGAUAAUCAUCCCACAAUCCUUUGCUCUGGAAUCCAUCUUGGCCAAGAGAUGCACACGCAUAUGGGGGCGGGCCCUGGGUCUGGUCAGGUGUGAGAAAUAAAACAAGAUAAUUGGCCAAAGGAAAACAAAGACUCAGAAGAACUGUCUAUAUAUGUGGUUUAAAUCACCUCGCCGGCACACUCUUCAUUCUGGAGGAUGCCGGCACCUGCACUCCUGCUUUUGGUGUGUAUUACUGCUUUGCUUCUGCCUUAGAUAAGUAAAUUACUUCUCACUGUGCUCUCCCACGUGUUGUACUGCUUUUAGCCUCUAGCUAGUCUAAUGGCUAAGAUUCCUGGUUUUUACCCUGGCUGCCCAGUUUCAAUUCCUGAACAGAGAAUUAAAAUCUCCAAGCCAUCUUUCACUGCUGUCUCUCUGAGAUCAUCUCCAACAGUCCUGCACACUUAGGACAGAAGUAAGGCAUCCUUCAGGACCUGACAGGCAACAGUGUAAGCAGCCAGGACUCACAGUCAGUGAGUCCUGACUGCUUACACAGUCAGUGUAAGCAGGCUGUGAGGCAGGUGCUGUGGCAGCAACAUACAUCAUCCAGAAAGUAUGGAUCUGGUGCGAGUCCAGCACUGCAUAGCAUGACAUGGUGCUAGGGGACCCUGGGCUGCCACUAGCAGCCCACAGUGUGCACCUCUAGAGAAUCGUAUGCACGCAGCCACAGGGCACCAGCCAGAGCAGAGGGGCCUGUCACCUACCAGGUGUUGGGCAAGGGCACUGAGGGGCCAUUAGGGCUGCCUAGGCUACAGAAUCCACAUAGGUAGGGUGCAACAGCAUCACAAGUGCCAGGCUUUCCCAAUCGUAGGUCACUGAGAUGCUGAAGUCCAUGUCUCUGCAAAGCAGGCAGCCCCGGCAGUAGGCACGGAGGUGGUGGCCGUGAACGAAGGGCAGCGAUUCCAGAAUUCCAUCCACCUACAGGGAGGGCAUGCGGGAGAGGGGAACAGCCAGGGAGGUGGUGGUGGUGGUCAGAAGACAUCCUUGGAACAUCAGUGAAGGAUCAGAGAAGGAUUGAGGAGAACACCUGUGGGUAGUUCAGUUAUUAGGGAUCAAAAGAGAAUUCAGGGGGAGGUCAGUUGGAGGCUAAAUAGUCAAUAAAAGAUCCAAUGGGGGAUCAAUGCUAGAGUGACUGUAUGGUCAGAAUUAAUGAGGGGUCAGUGGAAGAUAACGAGGUAACAAGAGAAUACUUAGGGAGUUGGUGGGAGGGGCCAGUGGGGGACCAAGGGGAGGACAAAUAGAGGGCAAUUAGAGGAAGCGGAUGGACAAAUCCUUGCCUCACUGAGGCUGGAGAGAAGGCUUAGACGGCUUGGGGGGGCAAUGGGAGGGCUCAGCUGGAGGCUGAGGAUGGGGUCAGAAGGUGAGUCCAUGAUUUAAGGGGACAUUAUCAAAGGCUCAGUGGAUGAAGCAAUGCGUCAGAGAGGCUCAAUUAGGAUGAGAGGCCUGAGAACGGGUCCAUGUCCGAGGAUGCUCAAUGGGAAGAUCCUCCGGGUGUAAACGGGGCCAUUAGAUCACUGAGAGCCCUUUCCAGAGUGAGAGUGUGGGGGGCGUCAACAGGGCAGUACAUAGGGUUAAUGGGCAAGUUGAGAGGGGGGGCCCAUAGUAGGAUGGGGAGGGGCAGUGGGUUAAGGGGAUGUUAACUGGAGGGGGUGGUGAAAGGGAAGGCCGAUGGGGAGCACAGGGCUGAGCCUGUGGGUUAAAGGGAGCCAAUUAGGGUGUCUGCUGAGGACUCAGAGAAGAGUUAAUGGGAGGGUCAUAGGAGUCUCAAGGGUGGUAAAAUUGACAAGUGGGAGUCGGUGGGAAGGAGGCAGUAAGCGAGUCAGUGGGGAGGGGGGUCCGUAGCCAUUGCUAAGGGACGAAUAGGGCGCUAGGGAAUUAGAGUGGACAUCUUCGAGGACCAAUGGGAGAGUCAAUAAAGGGGGCAUCAGCAGGAAGAGGGGUCACUCUGCUACCUGAGGGUAGUGGGGACCGUGAGGGAUGGUGGGUCAGUGUGGGCCUUUGGAACUGUAAACCCUCAUUUUAUGGAAACCUGAAAUGAUUCAAUGUAUUUUAGCAUAUGUUACCCUUGCAGAAAGGGGUACCCCUUCCAGGGCCUGAGAAUGGGCUCUUGUCUGACACAUGGAAAGGAAUUCUCUGAGGAGAUGCAUGUGCUGACAAAGCAAGAGAUUUUAUUGGGAAGGGGCGUCCAGGUGGUGAGCAGCAGGGGAAGAGAACCCAGGAGAACUGCUCUGCCACGUGGCUCGCAGCCUCAGGUUUUAUGGGAAUGAAGUUUUUUUUUGCUUUUUAAGGGCUGCACCCAAGGCAUAUGGAGGUUCCCAGGCUAGGGGUUGAAUCAGAGCUGUAGCUGCUGGCCUACAUCACAGCCACAGCAACGCCAGAUCCAAGCUGCAUCUAUGACCUACACCACAGCCCAUGGCAAUGCCAGAUCCUUAACCCACUGAGCAGGGCCAGGGACCGAACCUGCAUCCUCAUGGAUCCUAGUCAGAUUCAUUUCCGCCGAAUCAUGAUAGGAAUUCCAGGAAUGGAGUUAAUUUCCAGGUUUGUCUCUGGUCAGUCGUCUUGCUUGGCCCACACUUGGUCUGGCCCUGGGUCCUUCUUGGUGGCAGGUGCCCCUCUCAGCCAAGGCAGAUUCCAGCACCAAGGAUCCUAGGAGGUUGGUCGUCUCCUCCCUCUUAUUUGCCCCUCCCAAUUCCUCUGGGUGAGUCUUCAGGGCAGCACCCUGUUCCCUAGCAGGACCUCCUGCUGUGAGACAGCUGGAGCCAGCGACUCUGGUCAUGCCCGGCCAAGGUGGGCAGUUUCAGUCCAUGGUCCCCCUAGCAUUACUGCCCUUCUGCUGAUUUGAAUAAACACCAUGACAGUCCUAGUUUGACCUCAUAGGGUCAAAUACUCUCUUACCUGAUACGAAGGAGGAGCUAGUGAUGUAAGCCUGACAGCUACUCGAAGGAUGAGGAAGAAGCCGUCUUCCCCCCUCCCCCACUUUCCUUGGGCGGAGCAGGCCUUUGGGAAGGAGUAGGAUUGGAGGGUUACUGGUGGUAAGUGCCUGCUGGAGUCUCACCCCCCACCUCUGGGGCUGGGAUGGGGCAUCUGGGUCCCUGAAGGGGUAAGGGCUGGAUGGCUUGACUGGGGCAGAGCUGAAACUACCCCUCAGAUAGAUAAGUAUCAGGUGACCAGUCAUGAAUCGGAGGUACAACUGCUCUGUAGGGGCUUGGGAUGGGUAGGGAUUUGGGGGCUGGACCAUAAAUAGGUCUGAGUUCCUGAGGAGGUAGGGGUUGAAGAGCUGGACCAUAAUUAGGACUAAGAAGCGGGAAGGAUGAGAGCUG